UUAAAAUUAAGUAUUAAUAAAAUAAUUUUGUAUGCUUAAUAAAAAUGAAAUGAAGUGAGAAUAUAGUAAAUUUGUUUAUUUAACUGUGGGGUUGUUUAAGGUAAUUUUUUUUAAGCCUAAUUAAAUUUUGGUACUUUUUGUAUAACGGCUUUGUAAUAUAUUCUUUGAGUUAAAUUUCUCGAAAUUUAUUGAGCUGGGUUAAGUUUGUUAAGAACUGUGGUAUAUUAUGUUUCAAAAUAAUUAAAAAAACUUAAUUCAGGGGCUACAUACCAUUCGCAAUAAAAUAUAGCUAGUUUUUUGUGAUUAUAUAUUAAUGUGAAAAACUUUUGUUUUAUAAAGUUUUUUUGAAUAUUAGGGGAAAGCUCUAAUUUUUAUUUUAAAUAAAAAUUAAAUAUGAAGUUAAAAGUAGGUUUUAUAGCGGCCUUCUUAUUGUUAGCGCGUUAUAGCUUUUAUAUUAGUAAAAUAGAAUAUUUAAAUUUAAAUAAGAAAUUAAAUUAAUUAACAUAAAGAAUUUAAAAAUUUUGAGUGGGUUUUUUUACUGCUAAGAUAAGUAUUAUUAAAAUUUAAAUUUAAAAAGUUUUAGGAUGAUUAGUUAAAGUGAAAAUAAUAAUAAAAUGAGAUAAAGGAAUUCGGCAAAUUUUAACUUCGACUGUUUAACAAAAACAUUGCUUUAUGAAAAUAAAAUGUAAGGUUUACUCUGCCCGGUGACUUUUGGGUUAAACGGCCGCGGUAUCCUGACUGUGCUAAGGUAGCGUGAUAAUUCGUCCUUUAAUUGUGGGCUUGAACGAAUGGGUUAACGAGGGUUAUGCUGUCUCUAUUUUAGAAGUAGAAAUUGGUAUUCAGGUGAAAAAACCUGAAUCUUUUUGUAAGACAAAAAGACCCCAUAGAGCUCUGUUAAAGUUUUGUUUUGUUGAGGUUCCUGGUUUUAAUUAAAUUUCAAUUAAAUAAAAUAUAACUUAACUGGGGCGGUUGAGAAAAAUUAAAUCUUUUUUUAAAGUGAAAGGCUUUAAAGCUAGUUAUUGUAGUUGAUCCUUGUUGGAGCAAAUGAAAAGCUACCUUGGGGGUAACAGACUAAUUUUUUUUGAGAGUUCAAAUUGACGAAAAAGUUUGGCACAUCGAUGUUGGCUUAGGGUACCCAAAAAGUAGUAGCAGCUUUUAAUGGUAGGUUUGUUCAACCUUUAAAACCCUACAUGAGCUGAGUUCAGACCGGCGUAAGCUAGGUCAGUUUCUAUCUACAUUAAGAUAAAUUAGUAUGUUUUAUUUGUACGAAAGGACUUUGUUUCAGUAUUAAAUAUUUAGAAUUUUGAAUAAAAAUAAAAAUGUUUAAGAAAAAUCUUU
This 1338-nucleotide ribosomal RNA is filed under the name Eclysippe vanelli. RNAcentral describes it as "large subunit ribosomal RNA". The stretch from base 840 to 1242 matches the Rfam family "Bacterial large subunit ribosomal RNA", at positions 2049 to 2651 of the family's 2925-position model. Lineage: Eukaryota; Metazoa; Annelida; Polychaeta; Terebellida; Ampharetidae. The record is from RNAcentral.